This 247-nucleotide ribosomal RNA is filed under the name uncultured bacterium. RNAcentral's name for it is "partial 16S ribosomal RNA". It matches the Rfam family "Bacterial small subunit ribosomal RNA", at positions 523 to 769 of the family's 1533-position model. The record is from RNAcentral.
AUACGGAGGGUGCAAGCGUUGUUCGGAAUUAUUGGGCGUAAAGCGCGUGUAGGCGGCUUCUUAAGUCUGAUGUGAAAGCCCCGGGCUCAACCUGGGAAGUGCAUUGGAAACUGGGGGACUUGAGUACGGGAGAGGGUAGUGGAAUUUCGAGUGUAGGGGUGAAAUCCGUAGAUAUUCGAAGGAACACCGGUGGCGAAGGCGGCUACCUGGACCGAUACUGACGCUGAGACGCGAAAGCGUGGGGAGC